AUUAACUGACAGCACAUCGACAGAGGCCUACUGAUGUUGCUGUUGUGAAUGACGGCCAUCUCUGGGGGAUUUUCUGCUUUCUUCUGUCCCGUACGAGGCUA
This 101-nucleotide long non-coding RNA is filed under the name Gadus morhua (Atlantic cod). RNAcentral describes it as "lncRNA (ENSGMOG00000029188.1)". The record is from RNAcentral. Lineage: Eukaryota; Metazoa; Chordata; Actinopteri; Gadiformes; Gadidae.